Molecule: long non-coding RNA, 2274 nt
Organism: Cyanistes caeruleus (blue tit)
Lineage: Eukaryota; Metazoa; Chordata; Aves; Passeriformes; Paridae
Source: RefSeq, a predicted model, not a curated record
UGGAGCACAAGUCUUUAAAAGGGGCUGACCGUGACGUGGGCGUUUGUCUACAUCCUGCUUGCUUGCUGGAUCCACGUGGGAACCUAGGAUUUGGUGGCUAUUGGACACUUGGUGUUGGAGUCAUCUGGCCACAGCUGCCAGUCGUGCAAAUGACUUCUGCAGGAAAUUGCUCUUUCAGAGUGUCCAUUUACAGAGGCAGGAAUGCAGACUGAAAAAUUCUUAAGAAUGGAAGCUCCUUGCUGGUGACAAGAAGCUGGCAAAUGCUUCAUUAUCACCUCAGCAGCAUUGUGAAUCAUCAGAAUACCAGCCAUUAGUCUGCAGUGUAAAGGAGUAGCUGCUGUUAUAGUGAAAUCUCACGAAAACCUAGUAACGUGGUGACUGCUCUGCUUUUUUAUUGCAGUGGCCUCAGCCUACUCUUUACCUGAACAUCCUUUCCUUUCUGUAAUUUCUGCUGCAAUGUGCACAAAAUUGCAUUUCUCCUAUUUUGAAACUGGUAUAUAGGUCAAGCAGCUGAACUAGAGAAACAUCCUUUGGUACAGAAAAAGGAGUCUACAGAACCAUGGCUGAUUUUGUGCACCUUGUCUGCGUGAAGAAUAAUCCUAGUGUAAUACCUGCAUUUCGGAUACUACUUUACCCAGUUGAGCCAGGGCAGUUGAUGGCUCCAUUUGUCAGAUAAUUGCCUACUGAGGAGUUUUCAAGAAUAUGCAAACAGAAGAUGACUUUUUCUCUUGUCUCCACCUGAUUGUUUCCUUGCCUGCAAGCUGAAUCUCUGCCGUCCUCUUCUUUAUUUUGCUUUGCACAAACAUUCUCACAGGAUGUGUUGGUAACCAGUGGGUGACUGGCUGUGGUCUUAGGACAGGGUAGAUAAGAAGAGAACAUUUCAACACUGGGUUGCAGCAAGACAUCUUAUAGUCAUAACACAGUUGGUCUCCCUUGUUGCUGUGCCAGGGACAGUGCAAACCACUGAUUCAAAUUCUCCCCAGAUAUAAUAGGUAUUUACAGUUACCAUACAAUUCACAAUGCUCAGGUAGGCAGAUACAAAAAAAAACAAACAAACCAAACUGUCCAUGACAGGGAAAGACAUCUGUUCCUCUUUGCUAGUAGCAGUUUCUCCCAGAACACCCAAUUAUUCAAAUAAUUACAAAAGUAAGUUUUGCUUGAUGGCUUCUGAGCUUCAUUGUUAUGGCACAAAAUUAAAAGAAAGGUGGAUUUUUUGAAGGAGGAGAACCUAAUAUGAAUAUUGUCCUAAGCCAGUAGACAAAGACUGAAAUAAAGGGAAUUAUUUCAUCAGUUAGUCUACAGUAGGAUGAACUUUACUAAAAGUAAAAUGUACAGUGUUGUAUAUCAAACCCCCACAAUUCUCACUGUGGAAAACACUGAGUUGGAUUUAAAUUCAUUCUUGAGAACUUAAUGUGUCACUGUGAGGAAACUUGAAUGACUCUGGAAGUAAUUUUACUAAAAAUCAAUGCAAUUCAUUGCUGAUUUCAGGCUAAUUCACAUAUUUAGGCAUUAUCUCCCACAUUUCCAUCUGUUGUUUGCUUAAUGUGGCCCGUUGUGUUUGUGCUAAGAGAUUAGCAGGUUAGCUAAAAUGUUAAUGUGAUCUCUAACAGGGCCCAGAGAAAAAAAGUGGAAGCAGUGUGUCUGGAUGUUAGAAGCCUAUUAUAAAAAAUUUACAAAUGCUGAAGGAAGUAUUGAUUGCCUUUGGCUUGCAAAGUCUUUUGAUGAGACAAAGACUACACAAGCAUCCAUCAUUCACAAAAAGGAUGCUGGGCAGCUAGACAUUUAAUCUGCCAUUUGUAUCUACCUGCCAAACUUCCCUUCCUCACCUAUUCAGAGAAAACAUAUAUUGCAGAAGCAUUAAUUCUGCUGACAUACAGCAAUAAUAGCCUUACUAACCUUCUGUGGUACAGGCUAGAAUAGGGAUCCAGGGACCUACAGGCCUGUCAGUCUGAACUCUUCAUGGAGCAGAUCAUCUUGAGGGGCAUCAUGCAGCACAUCUGGGACAACCAAGGCAUCAGGCCCAGCUAGCAGGGGUUCACAAAACACCUUGCUUGAUCAACCUGAAUACCUUCUAUGAUGAGGUUACCCACUUAGUGGAUGAGAGAAAGGCUGUGGAUGUCUGCUUGAACCUUAGUAAAGCCUUUGGCACUGUUUCCCACAGCAUUCUCCUGAAGAAACUGGCUGCUCAUGGCUUGGACAAGUGAAGGAUCACUGGGUGAAAGCUGGCUGGAUGGUGAAUGGAGUUACAUCCAGCUGGGAGCCAGUCACAAGUAG